AUGAUCUCAGUUUAUUGAACAAUGUCAUGUCUCCAAUGUAGGUCAUGAUCUCAGUUUAUUGAACAAUGUCAUGUCUCCAAUGUAGGUCAUGAUCUCAGUUUAUUGAAUAAUGUCAUGUCUUCAAUGUAGGUUAUGAUCUCUGUUUAUUGA
Molecule: long non-coding RNA, 150 nt
Organism: Dreissena polymorpha
Lineage: Eukaryota; Metazoa; Mollusca; Bivalvia; Myida; Dreissenidae
Exons: 3
Source: RefSeq, a predicted model, not a curated record